UUUUAUCUGGGUUGCUAACUCAAUGGUAGAGUACGCGGAGUUCCGGGUUCGAGUCCCGGGCAACCCA
RNAcentral lists this transfer RNA (67 nucleotides) under Andropogon virgatus. Its description in RNAcentral is "tRNA-Lys". The stretch from base 9 to 67 matches the Rfam family "tRNA". From Rfam's summary of the family: Transfer RNA (tRNA) molecules are approximately 80 nucleotides in length. Their secondary structure includes four short double-helical elements and three loops (D, anti-codon, and T loops). The record is from RNAcentral. Lineage: Eukaryota; Viridiplantae; Streptophyta; Magnoliopsida; Poales; Poaceae.